CUUCUUCAACGGUUUGCGGGUGGUGGUGUCCUCGGGUCAGUUUCAUAUACCUGCAUUGGCUCACGUGUCCAGGCCCCCCAUGGGAGCAGGCGGAGGAGAACGUCUACCUGAACGAACCCUGCGGUCUGCGGCGCACUCGCUCCAUCCCUCCCCCCGCCACAGAAGAGCCCCCUGCUCUUCCGCCCAAGCCAGGGCGAAGGGGCUUCCAGAGGCGGAACAACUCCUCCCCGAGCCCUGCCCGUCACGGCAGCUUGUCAGAUGACAUACGGACUCAGAAGCCCCUCCCCCCACCCCCAGCCCCCCAGGAGAAUAGCAGUCAGACGAGACAGCUGAGCCAGGCGGCCGACAUGCUGGCCCAGGCAAUAUCAGAGGAGCUCAAGCUGAAGCUGGAGACCAGACGAGGCAGUCAGCACUGAUCCCUCCCCACUUCACCGCGUCGCCAGCAGAAGCACAGCUGCCCCCUGGAGCAUUGUCACUUCCCUGCGGGAUCGUCCCCUGAGGAGGGGCACCGCAGGCAGGGAGAUCACCGUUUAAAAGACUUUAAAACUGCGCGAGCUGCCUGCGUUUGUUUACUUUGCGCACGGAACGGUUAAGGAUUUGUUUAGAGGACUCUCAUGUGUCACGUUCGCUCUCUGUGCUUUGGUGCUUUGUGUCGAGACAGGCUCUCCUGGACACGCGUGUGCCGGAGGGUGCCGUUAACGUGUUUGUGCUGAAUGUGCUAGUGCUUCUUCAGGAUUAAAGGCUCUGCGCCGGAGGCUGGUCCGAACUGUUUGGAGUCCAUCUGUCAGGCGGACUUGCGCCCCCUGGUGGUGAGAUGGUCGCAGCGGGGAUCAGGGUUCUCACUGGGGGUGGGGGUGAGUUCAGCAUGUAAUCAGG
Molecule: long non-coding RNA, 876 nt
Filed under: Scleropages formosus (Asian bonytongue)
Lineage: Eukaryota; Metazoa; Chordata; Actinopteri; Osteoglossiformes; Osteoglossidae
Description: lncRNA (ENSSFOG00015026989.1)
Source: RNAcentral